This 483-nucleotide ribosomal RNA is filed under the name uncultured bacterium. Its description in RNAcentral is "partial 16S ribosomal RNA". It matches the Rfam family "Bacterial small subunit ribosomal RNA", at positions 29 to 507 of the family's 1533-position model. The record is from RNAcentral.
UUGAACGCUGGCGGCCUGCUUUACACCUGCCAGUCGAACGGCAGCGCGGGCUUCGGCCUGGCGGCGAGUGGCGAACGGGUGAGUAAUACAUCGGAACGUGCCCAGUAGUGGGGGAUAGCUCGGCGAAAGCCGGAUUAAUACCGCAUACGACCUGAGGGUGAAAGCGGGGGAUCUUCGGACCUCGCGCUAUUGGAGCGGCCGAUGGCAGAUUAGCUAGUUGGUGGGGUAAAGGCCUACCAAGGCGACGAUCUGUAGCUGGUCUGAGAGGACGACCAGCCACACUGGGACUGAGACACGGCCCAGACUCCUACGGGAGGCAGCAGUGGGGAAUUUUGGACAAUGGGCGAAAGCCUGAUCCAGCAAUGCCGCGUGUGUGAUGAAGGCCUUCGGGUUGUAAAGCACUUUUGGCGGGAACGAAAAGGACUGUGCCAAUACCACGGUUCGAUGACGGUACCCGCAGAAUAAGCACCGGCUAACUACGUG